UGGGGAAUAUUGCACAAUGGGCGAAAGCCUGAUGCAGCAACGCCGCGUGGGGGAUGACGGCCUUCGGGUUGUAAACCUCUUUUAGUAGGGAAGAAGGACUUCGGUUUGACGGUACCUGCAGAAAAAGCACCGGCUAACUACGUGCCAGCAGCCGCGGUAAUACGUAGGGUGCAAGCGUUGUCCGGAAUUAUUGGGCGUAAAGAGCUCGUAGGCGGUUUGUCGCGUCUGCUGUGAAAACCCGAGGCUCAACCUCGGGCCUGCAGUGGGUACGGGCAGACUAGAGUGCGGUAGGGGAGAAUGGAAUUCCUGGUGUAGCGGUGGAAUGCGCAGAUAUCAGGAGGAACACCGAUGGCGAAGGCAGUUCUCUGGGCCGUUACUGACGCUGAGGAGCGAAAGCGCGGGGAGCGAAC
Molecule: ribosomal RNA, 410 nt
Filed under: uncultured bacterium
Lineage: Bacteria
Description: bacterial SSU rRNA
Rfam family: Bacterial small subunit ribosomal RNA
Source: RNAcentral